AAAAAGGUAAGCUAAAUUAAGCUAAUAGGUUCAUACCCUAUCCAUAGAUAUAAAUCUCCUUUUUA
This 65-nucleotide transfer RNA is filed under the name Helopeltis sp. RNAcentral describes it as "tRNA-Met". The record is from RNAcentral. Lineage: Eukaryota; Metazoa; Arthropoda; Insecta; Hemiptera; Miridae.